UAUAGAAUAGUAUAAGAAGUACAUAAGAUCUUGGUCCUUGACGUGAAAGUUCGUCCCUUUCUUCUAUAG
This 69-nucleotide transfer RNA is filed under the name Phasianella solida. RNAcentral's name for it is "tRNA-Gln". Lineage: Eukaryota; Metazoa; Mollusca; Gastropoda; Trochida; Phasianellidae. The record is from RNAcentral.